AUCCCACUUCUCCCCUUAACCCGGCUACUUUGCUUCCUCUUUCAUCUCAUUCUCCCUCCCCAGCCCACUCCUGUCCUGAACUCAUAGACAUACUUACCAAAUUCCAAGAAGGCCUAACCGACCUUCCUCUAUCUGACCCAGACCUUGCUCUAUAUGUAGAUGGGAGUUCCAGCUAAGGGGCAGUGAAAAGCAGCUUAUGCAGUAGUCACAGAUUUAGCCACCCUCAAGGCUCACCGACUUCCCGAUGGAACCACCUCACGAAAAGUGGAACUCAUUGCCUUAACCCGAGCUCUCACGCUUGCACAGGGAAACUCGCAUAAGAGAAAUCUCCAGGACAGCAGUAAACCAAAUGCUGCUUCACGCCUAUGUCUGACUCCCAACCGAGGCACCGGCCAACUGACCUCCCUACUCCACCCCUGUUCAGCAGGAAGUAACCAGAAAGAAGCAACAUCCUAUGUCAUCGAAAAGAUCGGAAUGUAAGGCCGGUUGCCUAGUCGGGGGCCAAAUGGACACACCCAUUCCUCUCCAUACCUGAAAACGACGUCAUCAUUCUGA
Molecule: long non-coding RNA, 555 nt
Filed under: Callithrix jacchus (white-tufted-ear marmoset)
Lineage: Eukaryota; Metazoa; Chordata; Mammalia; Primates; Cebidae
Description: lncRNA (ENSCJAG00000072734.1)
Source: RNAcentral